RNAcentral lists this ribosomal RNA (469 nucleotides) under Bacillus altitudinis. Its description in RNAcentral is "bacterial SSU rRNA". It matches the Rfam family "Bacterial small subunit ribosomal RNA", at positions 97 to 552 of the family's 1533-position model. Lineage: Bacteria; Bacillati; Bacillota; Bacilli; Caryophanales; Bacillaceae. The record is from RNAcentral.
GGCGGACGGGUGAGUAACACGUGGGUAACCUGCCUGUAAGACUGGGAUAACUCCGGGAAACCGGAGCUAAUACCGGAUAGUUCCUUGAACCGCAUGGUUCAAGGAUGAAAGACGGUUUCGGCUGUCACUUACAGAUGGACCCGCGGCGCAUUAGCUAGUUGGUGAGGUAACGGCUCACCAAGGCGACGAUGCGUAGCCGACCUGAGAGGGUGAUCGGCCACACUGGGACUGAGACACGGCCCAGACUCCUACGGGAGGCAGCAGUAGGGAAUCUUCCGCAAUGGACGAAAGUCUGACGGAGCAACGCCGCGUGAGUGAUGAAGGUUUUCGGAUCGUAAAGCUCUGUUGUUAGGGAAGAACAAGUGCAAGAGUAACUGCUUGCACCUUGACGGUACCUAACCAGAAAGCCACGGCUAACUACGUGCCAGCAGCCGCGGUAAUACGUAGGUGGCAAGCGUUGUCCGGAAUU